Tupaia belangeri chinensis (Chinese tree shrew) is the source of this 713-nucleotide RNA transcript. RefSeq lists it as uncharacterized. The record is from RefSeq and is a predicted model, not a curated record. The transcript is spliced from 3 exons. NCBI's taxonomy places the organism in Eukaryota, Metazoa, Chordata, Mammalia, Scandentia, Tupaiidae.
CCGCCAGCAGAUGGAGGGGAUUUGCUUUGCUGAGCUGAACUCUUCAGCCAGUGAGGUUAGGAAGAACUUGAUGGGGGUGGGGAUCAGGUACCUGGCUGCCUGCCGCCCUUCUUCCUCACUCUCCCAACCCCCUUGGGUCUUGGGGAAGGAGGUGUCUGAUCGAAGCCCCUUUGAGCCCCUGGGAUAAGGACCCUGGGACCUCUGAUGCGCUUCUAAGCUGUGGCCACCUUCUCCGGUUCUCCACUGCUGUCAGCUUACUGCAGAGGGAGAACCGAGACCCGGAGCUGGAGGGACUUAAAGGCUGCAGAUCAUUGGUGGUGAGAGAAAGGUGACCUCUUUCUCCCUUGCAGGACCUGAAGGAGAAGAAGGAAAAGGUGGAGGAGAAGGCAAGCCGGAAAGAGCGAAAGAAAGAAGUGGUGGAGGAGGAGGAGAACGGAGCUGAGGAGGAGGAGGAAGAGACAGCCGAGGAUGGAGAGGAGGAGGAUGAAGGGGAAGAAGAAGAUGAGGAAGAAGAAGAGGAGGAUGACGAAGGGCCCGCGCUGAAGAGAGCUGCCGAAGAGGAGGUUUGGGCAGGGCUGCGGGCCUGAGGGACUGUCAGCCGGGCUGGAUCCAGAUCCCAGAUCCCUGUGUGGCUUGGGCGGGGGCUGGAGCAGGGCCAGGGCCAGGGCCAGAGCCCCGACAGGGGAGGCGGCACCCCUCUUACAGCUCUCCCA